UACGUAGGAUGCGAGCGUUAUCCGGAUUUAUUGGGUUUAAAGGGUGCGUAGGCGGGUUAUCAAGUCAGCGGUAAAAUCGUGGAGCUCAACUCCAUCCAGCCGUUGAAACUGAUGAUCUUGAGUGGGCGAGAAGUAUGCGGAAUGCGUGGUGUAGCGGUGAAAUGCAUAGAUAUCACGCAGAACUCCGAUUGCGAAGGCAGCAUACCGGCGCCCGACUGACGCUGAAGCACGAAAGCGUGGGUAUCGAACAGG
RNAcentral lists this ribosomal RNA (252 nucleotides) under uncultured bacterium. RNAcentral's name for it is "partial 16S ribosomal RNA". It matches the Rfam family "Bacterial small subunit ribosomal RNA", at positions 524 to 776 of the family's 1533-position model. The record is from RNAcentral.